UAGGGAAUCUUCCACAAUGGACACAAGUCUGAUGGAGCAACGCCGCGUGAGUGAAGAAGGUCUUCGGAUCGUAAAACUCUGUUGUUAGAGAAGAACACGAGUGAGAGUAACUGUUCAUUCGAUGACGGUAUCUAACCAGCAAGUCACGGCUAACUACGUACCAG
This 164-nucleotide ribosomal RNA is filed under the name uncultured bacterium. RNAcentral's name for it is "partial 16S rRNA". It matches the Rfam family "Bacterial small subunit ribosomal RNA", at positions 355 to 511 of the family's 1533-position model. The record is from RNAcentral.